RNAcentral lists this ribosomal RNA (306 nucleotides) under uncultured bacterium. RNAcentral's name for it is "partial 16S ribosomal RNA". It matches the Rfam family "Bacterial small subunit ribosomal RNA", at positions 507 to 807 of the family's 1533-position model. The record is from RNAcentral.
GACAGCAGCCGCCGCGGGAAUACGAAGGGUGCAAGCGUUAAUCGGAAUUACUGGGCGUAAAGCGUGCGUAGGCGGUUUGUUAAGUCUGUUGUGAAAUCCCCGGGCUCAACCUGGGAAUGGCAAUGGAUACUGGCAAGCUAGAGUGUGUCAGAGGAUGGUGGAAUUCCCGGUGUAGCGGUGAAAUGCGUAGAGAUCGGGAGGAACAUCAGUGGCGAAGGCGGCCAUCUGGGACAACACUGACGCUGAGGCACGAAAGCGUGGGGAGCAAACAGGAUUAGAUACCCCUGUAGUCCCUGUCUCUUAUAC